Molecule: ribosomal RNA, 462 nt
Filed under: uncultured bacterium
Lineage: Bacteria
Description: partial 16S ribosomal RNA
Rfam family: Bacterial small subunit ribosomal RNA
Source: RNAcentral
GACGAACGCUGGCGGCGUGCUUAACACAUGCAAGUCGAGCGGUAAGGCCUUUCGGGGUACACGAGCGGCGAACGGGUGAGUAACACGUGGGUGAUCUGCCCUGCACUUCGGGAUAAGCCUGGGAAACUGGGUCUAAUACCGGAUAUGACCUCCUAUCGCAUGGUGGGUGGUGGCAAGAUUUAUCGGUGCAGGAUGGGCCCGCGGCCUAUCAGCUUGUUGGUGGGGUAAUGGCCUACCAAGGCGACGACGGGUAGCCGACCUGAGAGGGUGACCGGCCACACUGGGACUGAGACACGGCCCAGACGCCUACGGGAGGCAGCAGUGGGGAAUAUUGCACAAUGGGCGAAAGCCUGAUGCAGCGACGCCGCGUGAGGAAUGACGGCCUUCGGGGUGUAAACCUCUUUCAGCAGGGACGAAGCGCAAGUGACGGUACCUGCAGAAGAAGCACCGGCUAACUACGUG